This 921-nucleotide ribosomal RNA is filed under the name uncultured bacterium. Its description in RNAcentral is "bacterial SSU rRNA". It matches the Rfam family "Bacterial small subunit ribosomal RNA", at positions 567 to 1498 of the family's 1533-position model. The record is from RNAcentral.
GUGCGUAGGCGGGUAGGUUAGUCAGCGGGUGAAAUCUGGAGCUCCACUCCAGAACUGCCAUUGAUCCUAUCUAUCUUGAAUAUUGUGGAGGUAAGCGGAAUAUGUCAUGUAGCGGUGAAAUGCUUAGAUAUGACAUAGAACACCCAUUGCGAAGGCAGCUUACUACGCAUAUAUUGACGCUGAGGCACGAAAGCGUGGGGAUCAAACAGGAUUAGAUACCCUGGUAGUCCACGCCCUAAACUAUGGAUACUCGACAUAUGCGAUACACUGUAUGUGUCUGAGCGAAAGCAUUAAGUAUCCCACNGGGAAGUACGUUCGCAAGAAUGAAACUCAAAGGAAUUGGCGGGGGUCCGCACAAGCGGUGGAGUAUGUGGUUUAAUUCGAUGAUACGCGAGGAACCUUACCUGGGCUAGAAUGCUGGGAGACCGCUAGUGAAAGCUAGUUUUGUAGCAAUACACUGCCAGUAAGGUGCUGCAUGGCCGUCGUCAGCUCGUGCCGUGAGGUGUUGGGUUAAGUCCCGCAACGAGCGCAACCCCUAUCUUUAGUUGCCAACAGGUAAUGCUGGGAACUUUAAAGAAACUGCCGCCGUAAGGUGUGAGGAAGGAGGGGAUGAUGUCAGGUCAUCAUGGCCUUUAUGCCCAGGGCUACACACGUACUACAAUGGGGAAGACAAAGGGCUGCAACAUAGCGAUAUGAAGCCAAUCCCAAAAACUUCCUCUCAGUUCAGAUUGCAGGCUGCAACUCGCCUGCAUGAAGCUGGAAUCGCUAGUAAUCGUAUAUCAGCAAUGAUACGGUGAAUACGUUCCCGGACCUUGCACACACCGCCCGUCAAGCCAUGGGAGUCGGGUGUACCUAAAGUCGGUAACCGUAAGGAGCUGCCUAGGGUAAAAUCGAUGACUGGGGCUAAGUCGUAACAAGGUA